GACGAACGCUGGCGGCGUGCCUAAUACAUGCGAGUUGAGCGCUGAAGGUUGGUACUUGUACCAACUGGAUGAGCAGCGAACGGGUGAGUAACGCGUGGGGAAUCUGCCUUUGAGCGGGGGACAACAUUUGGAAACGAAUGCUAAUACCGCAUAAAAACUUUAAACACAAGUUUUAAGUUUGAAAGAUGCAAUUGCAUCACUCAAAGAUGAUCCCGCGUUGUAUUAGCUAGUUGGUGAGGUAAAGGCUCACCAAGGCGAUGAUACAUAGCCGACCUGAGAGGGUGAUCGGCCACACUGGGACUGAGACACGGCCCAAACUCCUACGGGAGGCAGCAGUAGGGAAUCUUCGGCAAUGGACGAAAGUCGGACCGAGCAACGCCGCGUGAGUGAAGAAGGUUUUCGGAUCGUAAAACUCUGUUGGUAGAGAAGAACGUUGGUGAGAGUAGAAAGCUCAUCAAGUGACGGUAACUACCCAGAAAGGGACGGCUAACUACGUG
RNAcentral lists this ribosomal RNA (497 nucleotides) under uncultured bacterium. RNAcentral's name for it is "partial 16S ribosomal RNA". It matches the Rfam family "Bacterial small subunit ribosomal RNA", at positions 28 to 507 of the family's 1533-position model. The record is from RNAcentral.